Molecule: long non-coding RNA, 618 nt
Organism: Trichechus manatus latirostris (Florida manatee)
Lineage: Eukaryota; Metazoa; Chordata; Mammalia; Sirenia; Trichechidae
Exons: 3
Source: RefSeq, a predicted model, not a curated record
UCUUCCGCGGUGCCUCUGGGUGGGUUCGAACUGCCCACCUUUUGGCUAGUAGUUGAGCCCUUAAUGGUUUGUGCUACCCAGGGAUGUUUUUGGUUUAGGGUUGUCUUUGGAUACGUAUGAUAAUGCUGUCACUGGUGAGCUCCAUCAUAUAUUCAUGAUUCUGGAAAAUACUCUUAAGCUGAUUCUUUUGAAAAUGAGAGGGCUCGGCCUAAUCUUGAGCUCUAUCCAGAGCUGCAGUGGCUGGAGGUUCCACCAUAAUGUUUGCAGCUGGCCUUUGCAGGAAGAAUAAGUGGACGCCUUGGCGGCAAGGUUGUUCUUUGGACCCAUGCAGACAUUUUCAAGAGACAAAGCAAGAAUGGAAAUACAAACUGAAAGACUGGGAUUGGGCGUUGACUUGCUCUGAGGAAGUGGCGGAGAGACCUUACGAGGCUCCCGUUCGUCUGAGGUCAGAGCAAGGCUGGGAUCCUGUCCUUGGUUCCAGCCCUCACCUCUUGGCGUGGUCCCGAGGGGGUGGUGGCUCCUUGGUCCCCUCAGCCUUGGCAUCUCCCUGAGUCACCUCGUGUUCCUGCUGGGUCUGCUGGCCACGGGGCACGCGGCCCAGCACCGGGACACAGGCGA